Long non-coding RNA from Vicia villosa (hairy vetch), 1113 nucleotides. RefSeq lists it as uncharacterized. The transcript has 5 exons. The record is from RefSeq and is a predicted model, not a curated record. NCBI's taxonomy places the organism in Eukaryota, Viridiplantae, Streptophyta, Magnoliopsida, Fabales, Fabaceae.
UUCAAUGUCCUUAUUACAAUAUAAACGAAUAUUUGGGGAAGAGCAAAGAAAUUGAUAUUGAAAGUGAAACGCUCGAUGCAUCGUUUCUCAAUACAAGUUCACAACGCUUUCAAUUCAUCUUCAAUUUCAUCAUCAAUUUCUCUUCUCUUCUCAUCUUCAAUUUUGUCUUCUCCACUCAAAACAUCUUCUUUUCCACUAAACAAAACAUCAACUUCUCUGAUGCAAUCGGUACCUGAACCAACAGUUUCUCUUUUCCCUAACCUGAGGAAGCACAUCAUCAAUUUCAUCUAUUGGAUUUCCAUAUGCACCGUUUCGGUUAUGCUACAGGUUCUUUUUAAUCCUUUUCCUCUGGUGCAGAAUUUCCUGUUGGUUUGGUUGAAUUGUUUGGAAAGUUUAUGAAGCUGUUGUGGUUCGGUUCGGAUUUUGUGGGUAAGAGAUAGAGUUUUCUGCUACAAAGUUCUAUUAUGUGGUGCUGCAAGUAUUUUAUCGCAGGUGCAACUGGAUUGGUCAUGGACAUGUAGCUUUGUUUUGGUUUCAAAGUGAAUUUUUAUUGCUGGUCCGAUUUAAGGUGAAGGGAUGGGUAGUAGUGAAUGAGAUUUGUAACUGCUCGGAGGAAUAAAUCGUUGGUUGAAACAAUAUGUCGAUAAUGAAUGUUGGCAAGUUGGUUGAUGGUUAUCUUGGAGAAAUUGCACACGAUCCAAAUCUCAGCCUCUCGAAUUUUGUUGAUUUAUCACACUCAAUUCCAGAGUUUGAUAGACCAAAUCAUGAUGGUAUAUACAGAGCCAUCGAUAUCUAUUUAAAGGCUUGCGGCUAUGUCGAGACAUUUGAUACUGAUAUGAAUAGUGAUAUAAGUCUGUUAUCACUACUUAGCAGCCCCUUACAAGAAAACCUCGAAAAUUUCAGCAAAGAGAAAGGAAUUCACGUGAGUGCAUGGUCACCUUUAGGAGCUAAUGGAGCUGUUUGGGGUUCACUUGCUGUUAUGGACAGUCCAAUACUCAAAGAAAUUCCAAUUUGGGGUUCACCAUUAGGAGCUAAUAAUAUUGUCAUAAUUUUAAUCAAGUCUCUGACUUAUGCAUUAAUUUGCAAUUUAUUAAAUAUUUUUAUAAAAAAUAU